This 460-nucleotide ribosomal RNA is filed under the name uncultured bacterium. Its description in RNAcentral is "partial 16S ribosomal RNA". It matches the Rfam family "Bacterial small subunit ribosomal RNA", at positions 338 to 795 of the family's 1533-position model. The record is from RNAcentral.
CCUACGGGAGGCAGCAGUGAGGAAUAUUGGUCAAUGGACGAGAGUCUGAACCAGCCAAGUAGCGUGAAGGAUGACUGCCCUAUGAGUUGUAAACUUCUUUUAUAUGGGAAUAAACUGUUCCACGUGUGGGAUUUUGUAUGUAUCAUAUGAAUAAGGAUCGGCUAACUCCGUGCCAGCAGCCGCGGUAAUACGGAGGAUCCGAGCGUUAUCCGGAUUUAUUGGGUUUAAAGGGAGCGUAGGUGGACUGAUAAGUUAGUUGUGAAAGUUUGAGGCUCAACGUCAAAAUUGCAGUUGAAACUGGCAGUCUAGAGAACAGUAGAGGUGGGCGGAAUGCGUGGUGUAGCGGUGAAAUGCUUAGAGAUCACACAGAACACCGAUUGCGAAGGCAGCUCACUAGGCUGCAACUGACACUGAGGCACGAAAGUGUGGGGAUCAAACAGGAUUAGAUACCCUAGUAGUC